RNAcentral lists this unclassified non-coding RNA (339 nucleotides) under uncultured Saccharomycetales. RNAcentral describes it as "sequence contains 5.8S rRNA gene, ITS2, 28S rRNA gene". The stretch from base 1 to 52 matches the Rfam family "5.8S ribosomal RNA", at positions 103 to 154 of the family's 154-position model. The record is from RNAcentral. Lineage: Eukaryota; Fungi; Ascomycota; Saccharomycetes.
AACGCACAUUGCGCCCCUUGGUAUUCCAGGGGGCAUGCCUGUUUGAGCGUCAUUUCCUUCUCAAACAAUUCUGUUUGGUUGUGAGUGACACUCGGAUGAGUUAACUUGAAAUUGCUAGCCAAUUAGGCUUAUAGUGGUAUGGCAAGCUUUUGAUUGUGAAAUCACUGUCAAGUCUGCUGAUACAACUGUCGUAUUAGGUUUUACCAACUUCGGCUGCGUGUGUUAGUGGGUGUUAUAAAGACUAUGAUGGAAGAUUGAGAGAGUGUAAUAUUGCGAGCCUGGCGAACAGUGUUCUUAAAGUUUGACCUCAAAUCAGGUAGGAAUACCCGCUGAACUUAA